AUCAAUUCCAUACAUACCAGCAUUAUCCCAACGAAUCACGAAAAUCCUCUCUAAAGACUAUCCAAACAUUUAUAUAACUACCAGACAACAUCAAACAAUCCACAAACUGCACACCAAAGUGAAAGAUCCUGUAAAAAAAGACGAAAUUAAUAAUGUAAUCUAUAAAAUUCCCUGUAAUGACUGCAAUAGCUGCUAUAUAGGUAUGACUAGGAAUAAUUUACGCCGAAGAUUAGCUGGCCAUAAAUCAAAUGUAAACAAAUUGAACAAACUGAUGGACGAAAAUAACACUAAUACAAGAACAGCAAAAGCCACACUUAUAGAAACGACAACAGCAUUAAUUGAACAUUGCAUUGAACACAAUCACAGGUUCAAUCUAGAACAAACUAAAAUUAUAGAUCACAACCACAAACAAUCCACACUACCAUUCCUUGAAAUGUGCCACAUUACCAACACCAACAACACAGUCAACAAACGAACAGACAUAGAUAACCUAAGUACAACAUAUGCAGGAGUACUUCAUAGCAUAAAGAACAUUAAUAGAAAAAACGAAACAAUCAGAGAAGAUAAUUUAGACGAGAGUUAGAUUAUUCCGAUAGGGCACUUCAUCAAGCAAAUGAAACGAGCCACAUGAGGAGGGUUGAGCAAAAGGGAAAAAUUGCGCCAUUUGCCAAACAAGAAAUACGUAAAUUGAAAGUGGUUCCGAAUAGUCAUGUACCAACGACGAUUUAAACAUAGGACAGUUAAAGUUAGACCAAACACUAGACAAAAAACGACAAAUUAAUCUCCCCUGAGGAAGACACAAUCCCCGUGUCGAAACGUUG
Long non-coding RNA from Aedes aegypti (yellow fever mosquito), 821 nucleotides. RefSeq lists it as uncharacterized. The transcript has 3 exons. Lineage: Eukaryota; Metazoa; Arthropoda; Insecta; Diptera; Culicidae. The record is from RefSeq and is a predicted model, not a curated record.